CAUGAAGUCGGAAUCGCUAGUAAUCGCGGGUCAGCAUACCGCGGUGAAUACGUUCCCGGGCCUUGUACACACCGCCCGUCACACCACGAAAGUUGGUAACACCCGAAGCCGGUGGCCUAACCCUUAGGGGAGGGAGCUGUCGAAGGUGGGACUGAUGAUUGGGGUGAAGUCGUAACAAGGUAUC
Molecule: ribosomal RNA, 184 nt
Filed under: uncultured bacterium
Lineage: Bacteria
Description: partial 16S ribosomal RNA
Rfam family: Bacterial small subunit ribosomal RNA
Source: RNAcentral